AUUGUAGAUCGGAUGAUCGCCCCGCUUUUGACAAACCAGUGCCAAACGGGUGCGCCAAGGGCGGGGAGGAAAGUCCGGGCUCCAUAAGCAGCGUGAUGGGUAACACCCAUCUUCUUCCGGGCGGUGUCUUUUCCGGCACGGUCCCGAAGAAAGGAUUAGAGCAACAGAGACGAGUCCCUUCCUAGCCAUGUCAAUAGACAUGGCGAAGUAGGGGGUGAAACGGGCAAUCUCCACGCGGAGCAAGGUUAAAUAGGGAAAGAAUCCUUGAAGAGGGGAUACGAGAGCUUACUCGUCAGAUUUCCGGGUAAACCGCUGGAUCUUGCCAGCAAUGGCAAGGCAAGAUGAAUGAUCAUCACCCGCCAUUAAUUUGGAGGGGACAGAACCCGGCUUACAGAUCUACAAUAGAC
RNAcentral lists this RNase P RNA (407 nucleotides) under Candidatus Omnitrophica bacterium CG07_land_8_20_14_0_80_50_8. RNAcentral describes it as "RNase P RNA component class A". It matches the Rfam family "Bacterial RNase P class A". Rfam says of the family: Ribonuclease P (RNase P) is a ubiquitous endoribonuclease, found in archaea, bacteria and eukarya as well as chloroplasts and mitochondria. Its best characterised activity is the generation of mature 5'-ends of tRNAs by cleaving the 5'-leader elements of precursor-tRNAs. The record is from RNAcentral. Lineage: Bacteria; Pseudomonadati; Candidatus Omnitrophota.